Molecule: ribosomal RNA, 384 nt
Filed under: Triticum aestivum (bread wheat)
Lineage: Eukaryota; Viridiplantae; Streptophyta; Magnoliopsida; Poales; Poaceae
Description: partial small subunit ribosomal RNA
Source: RNAcentral
AUGGUGAAAGGGCAGAAUCUGGAAUGCAGAAACAAAGAGAAAGACAGAGAGACAAAUCCAAUCUUGGAGGGGCUCUCGCCCCUCCGCCGCCAUGGAGGCCAUGGACCAGAGGGGAAACCCUUCUCCCAUCUAGAGAGAAGGUCAAGGAAGAAGAAGAAGGUGGGCUCUCUCCCCCUUUCUUUCGAUGGCACUGGAACGCCGCCGGGGUCAUCAUCAUCACUGCAAUCUACACCAACAACUUCACCGCCAUCAUCACCAACUCUUCCCCCCUCUAUGCAGCGGUGUAACGCCUCUUUUACCCGCUGUAAUCUCUACUUAAACAUGGUGCUCAAUGCUAUAUAUUAUUUCUCAAUGAUGUAUGGUUAUCCUAUGAUGUUUGAGUAG